GACGAACGCUGGCGGCGUGCUUAACACAUGCAAGUCGAACGGAAAGGCCCUGCUUUUGUGGUGUUCUCGAGUGGCGAACGGGUGAGUAACACGUGAGUAACCUGCCCUUGACUUUGGGAUAACUUCAGGAAACUGGGGCUAAUACCGGAUAGGAGCUCCUGCUGCAGGGUGGGGGUUGGAAAGUUUCGGCGGUUGGGAAUGGACUCGCGGCUUAUCAGCUUGUUGGUGGGGUAGUGGCUUACCAAGGCAUUGACGGGUAGCCGGCCUGAGAGGGUGACCGGCCACAUUGGGCCUGAGAUACGGCCCAGACUCCUACGGGAGGCAGCAGGGGGGAAUUUUGCACAAUGGGCGGAAGCCUGAUGCAGCAACGCGGCGUGCGGGAUGACGGCUUUCGGGUUGUAACCCGCUUCCGCCUGUGACGAAGCGUUAGUGACGGUAAUGGGUUAAGAAGCACCGGCUAACUACGUG
Molecule: ribosomal RNA, 468 nt
Filed under: uncultured bacterium
Lineage: Bacteria
Description: partial 16S ribosomal RNA
Rfam family: Bacterial small subunit ribosomal RNA
Source: RNAcentral